CCUGGCUCAAAAGCUCCCCUACUGAGUACCUUGUGACCCCCACUCCUGCCCGCCAGAGAACAACCCCCCUUUUUCCUUUACCUACCCAAAUCCUAUAAAACAGCCCCAUCCUAUCUCCCUUCGCUGACUCUCUUUUCGGACUCAGCCCGCCUGCACCCAGGUGAUUAAAAGCUUUAUUGCUCACACAAAGCCUGUUUGGUGGUCUCUUCACACGGACGCGCAUGAAAGAAAUUACUUUUUUUCAAGAAUGAGUUCAUGUCCUUUGCAGGGACAUGGAUGAAGCUGGAAGGCACCAUUCUCAGCAAACUAACACAGGAACAGAAAACCAAACACCGCAUGUUUUCACUCAUAAAUAAUACAUGAAGCCGGGCACAGUGGCUCACACCUGUAAUCCCAGCACUUUGGAAGGCCGAGGCGGGCAGAUCACCUGAGGUCAGGAGUUCAAGACCAGCCUGGGCAACAUGGAGAAACCCCGUCUCUACUAAAAAUACAAAAAUUAGCUGGGUGUGAUGGCACGAGCCUGUAAUCCCAGCUACCUGGGAGGCUGAGGCAUGAAAAUCUCUUGAACCUGGGAGGGGAGAUCGCGCCACUGCCCUCCAACUUGGGUGACAGAGUGAGGCUCCAUCUCAAAAAAAAGAGUACAUGAAAAGUUCCCAAAUCAUAAAUCAAAAAAAAUUGUUUGAAAGUUUAUUUACAACCAACAUCUCAUUUCCCCGUAAGUCUCCAUUUCUUCUCAUAUGCACUGCAGAUAACAAAACCAUUGUAAACUCUAUUUUUCUCCCCUUCUCACUGUGAUGUUUCAUAAGUAAAACCUAGAUUUUCCCAGUGCAGACCUCCAUUUUACUCUUGAAGACAUAGGUCUGGUAACUUGUGGCUAGGAAAAUGAGGAAUAGAAAAAUAAACAUUUUGAUGCCUGAUUGUUUGAUAUUUUAAACAAUUGAUUUUGAGAGUAUUAAUAUUUUUAAAAAGAUAGUAAAAAAUGGAAUUUAUGUGUGCCAAAUCAUUUUUGUAAUCAGGCCUUCUUACACACACAAUAAUAUACACACAUGCACUUAUAUACACAGUUCUAGUUUUUGUUCCUGUGUUGUUUACUAUGGCAUUAAGAUAUAAUCAAAAUAAAUGAUUUGAAUGUCCAUGAAGAGAGAUGAUUGACUAAGUCACUAGUCACGGGAUGCAUUUUCAUUACCUAUUAAAAGAUUUAUGUUACAUAAAAAUAAUUUAUCAAAAAACCAGUAGGGACUCAUUGGGGAAAAAAGUAUCACCUGUAUGCAUAAUUUGUAGAUAUUUGUGAGAGACUGUACCAAAUUUUUACUUGAGAUUUAAAAUUAAGUUCAUACACUUUUUAAUAUUUCACUUACUGUAAUUGCAUGUGUUACAUUGACAUUUAAAUGUAAACUUCCAGUAAAAAGAAAAAUAAGAAAGUAAGUUAAUAAAUGAGUGUAUGUGUUGGAAGGGAAAGGAAUUUUGAGAGCAGUCUGAGCUCUCUGCUGAUCUCUUGGUCUAACACAAUGGAAUGGGAUGUGCACCCGUGGAGUAAAUCUUUGGACCUACCUCACCUAGCACACAUAACACAUUAGGAAUUAAUCACAACAGUUCUGGUCCAGAUAAUAUAUCAUGAUCCAUAUUUGAAUACAAAAUCUUUCUUCCCAUAUUAGUAGGGUGUAGAAUAUGAGAAUUGCACCAAUGCCUUGAGAUUUUAGCAAAUAUUAAUAACAAGAGGUCUGGGAUUUUGGUACUUGGCACCCUAGGCUGACCUCAGCAUUAUCAAGGUGAGUAUUUGUGCCAGUAACUCAAGUGGUUUUGAGAGCAGCAGAUAAAAAACAUAGUGGAUAUAUGUAAUAGCUAACAAGACUUUUGUGUGAACACGAGGGAUCUUCAAGAGGUACUGCAAAAUAAUUAGAUGUGUGUGUUUGUGUAUUGCUGUGUGCCUGUUGGUGUGUGCAUCAGUGUGUUUUAGUGGAAAUGAAAAUUUCACAAUACUAUGUGAGGACAAGUGUCAGUGAAAUUAAGAACUAUGAAGUUAAUCAACACAAACCAAUUUCGAACUCUCAGUGGGUAGGCCUAGGAAACAUUGUUCACAAAUGUAAAAUUGAUUUGAUUGAAUUUUUACUUGAAAAAGAAAUGUUGCUUUUAUUAUAAAAUGAUUCUGUUCAAUAGAAAAGAGAAAGGAAGUGAAUUCCUUUACACAUUGAAAAAUUUUAGUUAUUACUAUUUACCUGGCACUUAAUUCCUUAAUCUCUAAGUUAUUACUAUAUUGAUUUAAAUAUUAUUAUACAAUUGUGUAGAUUUUAGAAAUUCUUCAACUUUGAAAUAUAGGAAAUUCAUCAAUGGAAAAGCCCAGAGCUGAUAGAAAUUUUCAUUAGAAUCAACCUUAUUUAAUUUCUAUUUGAGUUUCUACUAUUUGCUUUGCACUGAGUUGGGAGCUCAUUAUCCAGUAGAAUGCACCAGACAGGGUAGGCUGUUAUACAAACUGGAAAACAGCACCAUCAGCAUUCACGGGGAGAUCCCAGCAAAGUGUGUGAGGUCAGGAAAGACUACUUUCAGGAAUGGCCUUUGAGAUGAGGCAUGAGUGAUGGGCAAUUGUGGAGGAAGAGUGCUCCAGGUAAAUGAACUAUCAUUUGAGAAACACAAAGGAAUAAAAAAUGUGUGAGGCACAGGGAGGGGCAAGGAUAAAAACAAGGAACAAGGAAGAAGAACCUUGGGUCAUGGAGGCCAUACUGAAGUCACUGUUCUCCUUCAUAAAAGCAAAAUACAGACCCUGAAGAGAGGGAGAGAGAGAGAGAAACUCUGUGUGUGUGUGUGUGUGUGUGUGUGUGUGUGUGACAGAGAGAGAGAAAGAGAGCGUAGCGUGUGUGUGACAUAGAGAGAGAGAGACAGAGACAGAGAAAUUGAAAUAUAAUACAUAGUGUAUUAUAGGUUCUCGACUAAUUUUCCCAAGCAUCUCUUUGAGCUGCUGGGGAAAUACGUAUAAAAGUUUGUCCCAAGAGAGAGAAAAAAAAGUUUCUGUGUGAGGAAAAAGAAUUUAAAAACCACACAAACACCAUACACAGGGUAAGCGAUACAAGAAUGAUGAUUCUUUUAAUGACCAACAUAAGUAAAGAUAAAGAGAUUAUGCGAAAUACAGGAAAGUAUCUAGUAUUGCUGUCAGAGAGAAAACUGCAUGAAAUAUGUAUUUCAUAGUUCUAUUGUUUAAAUACAUCUUAUCUAUGUGAUUUAGAAAUAAGCAUUUAAACUACAGUGUAACAACUUGCGAGUUAUUUUGGUCUUGAGGGUGCAUGUGUCUUAAGAAGUUGCCAAUGUUAUGCAUUCCACUUUACUGCUUGUGAGGCUUAGAGCAAAUUAUCACAUUUGCUUAGAGCAAAUUGAUUUUUUCAUUCAUAUUAAUAGUAUCUAUUUAAUAAAUUUGAUUUAAUGAUUAGACAUAUUUUAAGAAAAAUGCACAUUACGUAGGAGGCACUUGGUGUAUGUCAGGUGUACUAUUGCUUUAUUAAUUAAAAAAAUAUUUUUCCUAGUACUGUCUUGAUCUGAGUGGUAUAAUUACUUCUUAUGCAUAAACAUAGAGAAUGAAAAUUUUGCAGAGAUGUUAUCAUUUUAUCCCACUACUUUUCCUUACAUGUUUUAUAAAACUGUAUAAAAUAUUUAUUUUAUCACUCUACUGUUUAAAUACAUCUUAUCUAUGUGAAUUAUGAAUAUGCAUUUAAACUAAACACUGUAACAACUUGUAAAUCAUUUUGGUCUUCAGGGCACAUGUGUCUUAAGAAGUUGCCAAAAAAAUGCAUAAGGCUUUUCUAGCAUCUCAGGUGAAAUUAGGAAUAUUUAAUUACAUGUCAUUGAACAUUAACAAAAUAAUGUAAAGGUAUGCCAUGCAAAAUGCACUUAAAUUGUAUUCUUGCUUUAUAUAGAACACAAUAUCCAAAUAGGGAAAACUGCUUAAAUUAACCAAGUAACUAGCAUUCAUGUAUCAUAACAUUUAUUUUUCCUAUUUAUUGUUUGGAAUUAGAAGUUUUCUCAUAGUAUAAAAAUGUUAAAUCAUAGUGAUUUUGCUUUUGCAUGUGGAAACAUAAUCAGAAUCUCUAACUACCAACAAAGAUCAAAAGUGCCAUUUUCUCUCAAAAGUCUACAUAUGUUUGUAAGGAGGGAAUUUUCAUGAAGGCAUGAAUUUUACUUUUAUGAUUAUCACUUGCUGUAUAAGAAACUACUUUAUUCAUAUAUUUGUUGUCUGCAUAAAUGUCUUCUUUUGAGAAGUGUCUGUUCAUAUCUUUUGCCCACUUUUUGAUAGGGUUGUUUUUUUCUUGUAAAUUUGUUUAAGUUCUUUAUAGAUUCUGGAUAUUAGCCCUUUGUCAGAUGGAUAGAUUGCAAAAAUUUUCUCCCAUUCUGUAGAUUACCUGUUCACUUUGAUGAUAGUUGUUUUUUUUUUGUUGUUGUUUUUUGUUUGUUUUUGUUUUUUUUGGCUGUGCAGAAGCUCUUUAGUUUAAUUAGACCCCAUUUGUCCAUUUUGCUUUUGUUGCCAUUGCUUUUGGUGUUUUAGUCAUGAAGUCUUUGCCCAUGCCUAUGUCCUGAAUGGUAUUGCCUAGGUUUUCUUCUAGGGUUUUUAUGGUUUUAGGUCUUAGGUUUAAGUCUUGAAUCCAUCUUGAGUUAAUUUUUGUAUAAGGUGUAAGGAAGGGAUCAAGUUUAAGCUUUCUGCAUAUGACUAGCCAGUUCUCAACACCAUUUAUUAAAUAGGGAAUCCUUUCCCCAUUGCUUGUUUUUGUCAGUUUUGUCAAAGAUUAGAUGGUUGUAGAUGUGUGGUGUUAUUUCUGAGGUCUCUGUUCUGUUCCAUUGGUCUGUAUAUCUGUUUUGUUACUAGUACUAUGCUGUUUUGAUUACUGUAGCCCUGUAAUAUAGUUUGAAGUCAGGUAGUGUAAUGCCUCCAGCUUUGUUCUUUUUGCUUAGGAUUGUCUUGGCUGUGUGGGCUCUUUUCUAGUUCCAUAUGAAAUGUAAAGUAGUUUUUUUCCGAUUCUGUGAAGAACGUUAAUGGUAGUUUGAUGGGGAUAGCAAUGAAUUUUCACAAUAUUUAUUCUUCCUAACCAUGAGCAUGGAAUGUUUUUUUCAUUUGUUUGUGUCCUCUCUUAUUUCUUUGAGCAGUGGUUUGUAAUUCUCCUUGAAGAGGUCCUUCAGAUCCCUUGUAAGUUGUAUUUCUAGCUAUUUUAUUCUCUUUGUAGAAAUUUUGAAUGGGAGUUCACUCAUGAUGUGGCUGGUCAUUAGAGAAAUGCAAAUCAAAACAAUAAUGAGAUACCAUCUCAUGCCAGUUGGAAUGACGAUCUUAAAAAGUCAGGAAACAACAGAUGCUGGAGAAGAUGUGGAGAAAUAGGAAGGCUUUUACCCUGUUGGUGGGAGCGUAAAUUAGUUCAACCAUUGUGGAAGACAGUGUGGUGAUUCCUCAAGGAUCUAGAACCAGAAAUACCAUUUGACCUAGCAAUCCCAUUAAUGGGUAUAUACCCAAAGGAUUAUAAAUCAUUCUACUAUAAGGACACAUGCACACAUAUGUUUAUUGCAGCACUGUUCACAAUAGCAAAGACUUGGAACCAACCCAAAUGUCCAUCACUGAUAGACUGGAUUAAGAAAAUGUGGCACAUAUACACCAUGGAAUACUAUGCAGGCAUAAAAAAGGAUGAGUUCAUGUCCUUUGCAGGGACAUGGAUGAAGCUGGAAACCAUCAUUCCCAGCAAACUAACACAAGAAUAGAAAACCAAACACCCCAUGUUCUCACUCUUUGGUGGGAGCUGAACAAUGAGAACACAUGGACACAGGGAGAGGAUCAUCACACUCCAGGGCCUGUGGGGGGUAGGGGGUUAAGGGAGGGAUAACAUUAGGAAAAAUACCUCAUGUAGGUGGCGGGUUGAUGGUGGCAGCAAACCACCAUGGCACAUAUAUACCUCUGUAACAAACCUGCACGUUCUGCACAUGUAACCCAUAACAAAGUAGAACACACAAAAAAAGUCAAAAAAUAAAAGAUGCUGGAGAGGUUGUGGAGAAAAGAGAACACUUACACAGUCUUGGCAGGUGUGUAAAUAAGUUCAACCAUUGUGGGAAGAAAUGUGGCGCUUCUUCAAAGAGCUAAAAACAGAAAUUUGACCCAACAAUCCUAUUAUUGGGUCUAUACUCAAAACAAUAUAAAUCAUUCUACUAUAAAGACAUACACAUGAAUAUUCAUUGCAGCACUCUUUACAAUAGCAAUGACAAGGAAUCAACCCAAAUGCUCAUCAAUGACAGACUGGAUAAAGAAAAUGUGUACAUAUACACCAUGGAAUAAUGUACACUAUGUAGCCAUAAAAAUAAGAGGCCAGGCGCCAUGGCUCACGCCUGUAAUCCCAGCACUUUGGGAGGCUGAGGCGGGUGGAUCACGAGGUCAGGAGUUUGAGACCAGCCUGACCAACACGGUGAAACCCCAUCUCUACUAAAAAUACAAAAAUUAGCCGGGCGUAUUGGCGGGUGCCUGUAAUCCCAGCUAUUCAGGAGGCUGAGACAGGAGAAUCCCUUGAACCCAGGAGGCGGAGGUUGCAGUGAGCCAAGAUCAUGCCAUUGCACUCCAGCCUGGGCCAUAGAGCAAGACUCCAUCUCCAAAAAUAAAUAAAUAAAUAAAUAAAUAAAUAAAUAAAUAAAUAAAUAAAGGAAGAAGAACAAGAGUAUGUCUUUUAUUGAAACAUGGAUGGAACUGGAGGCUAUUAUCCUUAGCAAGCUAACACAGGAACAGAAAAACAAAUACCGCAUAUCUUCACUUAGAAGUGGGAGCUAAAUGAUAAGAACACAUGGACACAAAGAAGGGAAUGACAGACACUGGCGCCUACUGGAGGGUGGAGGGUGACAAGAGGGAGAGGAACAGAACUAAAGUUAAGCCUCAAAGUUAAGCUUCAAUCACCCACAGUGGUAGCUGUUUUCACAAAUUCACUUACAUUAGCCAUUAUUUUUCUGUCUCUUCUCAUAUCACCUUCGCUCCCAAAGCAUUAUAUAUCCCACCUUUGUAACAGACGCAUUUCACACAGAUCUUUGCUUCUGGGAAAUUCAAUCAUAGACACACCCUCUGUACUCUUUCUUUUGUGGGCCAUUGAUUAAGAUCUGCUGGGCAGCUUAAUACUGUUCCGUGGAUUAUCAACAGGGAAGCUCUACUGGUCCCUGAGGAUCUACAUUCAAGUUGACUAUGGCUGGCAGCUGUUUGCUGGAUUGACUCUUCCAGUAGGCAGCGGGGAGGUUCCUCUCCAUAGGGAUUUCUCUAUAGGCUGCUUGUGCUUUCUCACGGCAUGAUGGCUGGACUCCAGGAGACAGAACUGGGCCUGGAAACUAGCACAGAGUCACUUCUGCCAUAAAAUUCUCACAGCAGUCCAAAACUCUGAUCAGAUUCAAGAGGAGGUUAGAGAAAACAUCCUGAAUGCCACUGUGAACACUCUUAUUGACUUCUCUCAGAUUUUCUCAUUGUUACAUAAAGGGAUGUAUUGUUACAUGAAGUUCUUUCAGCCUUCGUUAAAACUCUCUAGAAGCAUUCUGUAUUAGGACUACAAUCAGCAGUCAUGGUUUGUAUGCUUCAUAAUCAUUUCACUGGGUUUACUUUUCAAUAUCCCUAGGGUAUUAAUCUUUUGAAAACUCACUUGCAGUGGAGAUGAUUCCAUUGUAAAAUGUUUCUUCAUUCCCAAUAGCACAAUAUAGUAAGUAGUAGGUCUAUUUUCAUGCUGUAUCAACUAAUUUGCAAUCAUAGCAGAUCUUAAGAUUUCUUCUUCCAAGAUGUCUUAACCUGCCAGGGGUUAUAUUCAUUCAAUUAAUGUUUGCUGUGUGAAUUAAUUCCAUUGUGGUUUUGCUAACUCCUAUUUUACUAAAAGUCUCCUUGAACCAGAGUGUCAUGUUGUUUGUUUCUUGACAUCUAAUGAGAGGUCAGAGGAAAUGAUUUCUGAGAUACCUUCUUAACCUUUCAAAGUCCAACAUAUUUUAUGCUACUGUCUCAAACUAAUUUUUUUAACCAAGGCAUUAAAUUGAAAAUACCACAGAGGGUUAUUAUGAAAAUAUUUACUUUUCUCAAAACAUGUGAAAAUAUGAUGUUUUAAACUUUGUGGGAAAGGUAUUGUUUACAGCAGGAUUGAGAGGAAAGCAAUUAGAUUUUUAAUCCUGCUCUCUCACUCCCUUUAUAAAAUUGGAAAAUUUAUUUAAAAAUUUUGUGCCUCAGUUUCUUCAUCAGCAAAACUGUUAACACAUACAACUCUGUGUAUGUACAUGUAUGUUUAUAAUCAGUCACACUAAAUAAUGCACCUAUGAAUGCAGGAUUUAUUUAUUAAUUAUUUCACAGUUUACAAGAAUAUGUAGUUCAUUCAAAAUUAUUACAAAUGAAAAAUAAUUCAUAUAGACACAGGAUCAUAUAGUCUGACAUAAAUUGACAACAGAUGUGAAGAUAUUGUUGAUGCUUGGUUCUGACAAUGGACAAAGCAAAGCUAAAGUUAAAUCUAAUCUUCGAUUAUUUCAUGUUGCUGUGCUUUCAAAGGCAAAGCAGGGGAAGUCAUGCCACAGGGCAAGAGCUAAAGCAAGACAGAGAAGGGGAAGGUCCAGACUCCUUAAACCACCAGAUCUCACAUGAGCUAACUGAGCAAGGACUCACUCCUUAUCUUCGGGAUAGGACUAAGGCAUUCAUGAGGGACCAGUUGUCAUGACCCAAACACCUCCCACUAAGCCCACUGCCAAAUUGGAGGUCACAUUUCAAUGUAAAAUUUGAAGGGGACAAAACAUCCAAACCCAUCUCAUUAAUAUCCAUACCCAUUCUGUUCUUCAGACAUCUGCUGAUAUAAAUUAGAAAAUUCAAGCAGUUCUUUUGGAGCAUAGACCUGCUCGUGGGUAGCGCUCUUAGCCACACUUCCACACUUCCAGGGGCCUGCUGGGACUUGAGUCUAGUUACAGGUCUAGAAGCAAAGAAGGGUGAUGGGGGUGGUCCCUGAGGAGAAUCAGCAUUGACUUGUCUGGCAACUGUCUCAGGGGAAGCUAUUACUAUUUCCUCAGGCAAUGCAGGGUUAAUAUCCUCAGAAAAAGGUGGAAAAGCUGAUACCAUUCUGGGUCAGGGAGGGGAUGUUGCCAUCAUGGAAUGUAGAGAGGUCUCUUCCUCUGGCAAAAUUAGCUCAUCAGAAUUUAGGAGCUCUGUGUCCCCAGCUUCAUCAGGGUCCUCCCAUAUAUCUCCAUUCCAAAUUACAGGGUCCAUUUUUUUCCCAGCCAAUGCUCUCACUUUAACAGUAAACACUCAGCAAGGCUGAGAGUUCACCAUUUGUUGUUAGCCAGCCACUCACAGAUAAGAGCUUGUGUUUGAUUUUUCAGAAAUUUAAACCCUUUGUCUACAGAAGAGAAGAUUCUCACUGGGCACCCUUAGAAACUUUUAGGCUAGGUAUGUGCCUCUGCAGCAAGGAGUUAGAAUCCCUUAGCUCAUCUUUAUCUUUCUUCACUUUGUCCAGUGAACUUAGGACCAACCAACUUCAUUAUUUCUUGGUUUUCCACAAAUGUUCGAAAGUAUCACGUAUACAGUCACUAAAUUCCUUUCUUCUCAGUAGUAGUGAACCAAAAGUAUCACAUGCAUUUAUUUUGCAUAACUCUAAAAACAGCUCAAGCUAGGGACUGUCAAUGUUCUCUGUACUAUUAGAAGCAGAGUCCUUAGAGUUUUUAGGUUUAGUCAAAUUAGAGAGCCAACUUCUAAAACCCAAAACCAACUAAGGAAAUUCAUCCUUAAACUUCUAUUUCCCUAGAACCUGUAUAAGCCAGUUCCUCAUAUCAAAAUCUGUAUUAGUCACAGUUCUCCAGAGAGGCAGACACAAUAGGAUGUACACACACACACACACACACACACAUAUAUAUAUAUGUUUAUUAGGUAAUAGAUUUAUUAUAUAAGUUAAAGGUCUACAGGCAAAGAGGUGUGGUGAGGUUGAAUCCUGAGGAGAAGCAGCAUUAUCUUGCCUGGCAACUGCCUCAGGAGAGGCUAUUGCUAUUUUCUCAGGCAAACAUUUAUAUAUAUAUAUAAAAGUUUAUUAGGGAGAAUUGGCUCACAGAAUUACAAGAUAAUGUUCCAAAAUAGGUAAUCUGUAAGCUGGGGAAAGAGAGAAGCCAGUAGCCUGGCUCAGUCCAAGUCCCAAGUCUGAAAGCCUUAAAACCAGGGAAAUUGACUGUGCAGCCAUCAGUCUGAGGUAGAAUGCCCAAGAGUCAUGCACCCGAGAUGGGUGCACUUCUCAGCAUCUGAAGGUCAAACAACCUGGAGUCUGAUGCCCAAGGGCAGGAGGAGAGGAAGCAAACCAUCUGGCACAGUGGGGAAAGAGAGAUAGCAAGCAGACCCAGCAAGCAAGCUACUUAUCACCUUCUUCUACCUGCUUUAUUCUACAUGCACUGGGAGCCAAUUCAAUGGUGCCCACCCACACUGAGGGCUGGUCUUCCUUUCCCAGUCCACUAACUCAAAUAUCAAUCUCCUCCAGCAAAUACCCUCACAUACACACCCAGGAACAGUGCUUCAUCAGCCAUCUAGGCUCCCUCAGUUCAGUCAAGUUGAUGCCUGUUAUUAACAACUACAGUCUUCUUUGUCCAAAAUUGCUCACAAUUGCUUUAUAAUAAAAAUUGAGUCAACUUUCAACAGGAUUUUGUAAUUGAGUUCUAUUCACUAAAUCAUCUACAGAAACAGUGGAAAUGUAAAUAAUUAGGCAAUGCUUAGAUAAAUAAUUGCUCCUCUGAGCAAUUGUCUUUCAUAAACCCAUCAAAAGCAAUGUUUUAUAAAGUACAUAAUGCCAUAAAUUACAUGAAGAUGAUAACUUAUGAAAAAGCAAGAAAUAUGUCAUCUGAAAAGGUUUUAAAUGUAUACAGAGCCAGGCACAGUAAUAGAAAUUUCACAUCUUCUUACUUAUGGGGGUCUGACUCACAGACCCUGACCCAACAACAGAUGAAUAAAGUACACUGACACACAGAUAUUCUGCUUUGUCAGUCCAACUGAGCGUCCGGGCCCCUUAACAGAUUCCAAGCAGAGUGCUGUAAACAGUUGCAACCACAGCCCUGACCAGCCAGUGAGACUCACAUUUAUUUAGUAAGGAUUAAUUGACAAAGGCUUGAGACAACCCCACUAGAGGGUAAUUGAUAUUGCAGACUUCCGGAGUAGAAAGCAAUUAAGCACCCGUGGUAGAUCAAAGGUUAGUCUUAGGACCACAUGAGUAAACAAGCUAGUUAGACAAACUCCCCACAUUCCUUUGUUUCUACUCUAAUUUAUUUAAUUAAAGGGACAAGGCUGCCUUCAGCCAAGUACUAUAUGUAAAAACUCCCAGGCCUUCCUAAAGGGUUUGUGUAUAUUCUCUGUAGCUAAAAUUUUUCCCACCAUCAUGACUGAACCCCCACAAUCACUUAUUUGUUGGAGCUAAAAAUUAAAACAAUUGAACCCCUGGUGAUAGAGAGUGGAAUGAUGGUUAGGGAUGGUCAAUGGGUACACAAUAUAAUUAGGAAGAAUGAAUAAGAUCUAAUAUUUGAUAACACAACAGAGUGACUGCAGUCAACAAUAACUUACUGUACAUUUAAAAAUAACUAAAAGAGUAUAAUAGGAUUGCAUGUAACACAAAGAAUGGACAAAUUCUUGAGGUAAUGGAUACUCUAUUUACCCAGAUGUGAUUAUUGUGCAUUGUACACCUGUAUAAAAAUAUCUCAUGUACCCCAUAAAUAUGUAUACCUAC
Molecule: long non-coding RNA, 11693 nt
Filed under: Homo sapiens (human)
Lineage: Eukaryota; Metazoa; Chordata; Mammalia; Primates; Hominidae
Description: HSALNT0085545
Source: RNAcentral